RNAcentral lists this ribosomal RNA (483 nucleotides) under uncultured bacterium. Its description in RNAcentral is "partial 16S ribosomal RNA". It matches the Rfam family "Bacterial small subunit ribosomal RNA", at positions 28 to 523 of the family's 1533-position model. The record is from RNAcentral.
GACGAACGCUGGCGGCGUGCUUAACACAUGCAAGCCGAACGAUGAAGCUGGAGCUUGCUCCGGUGGAUUAGUGGCGAACGGGUGAGUAACACGUGAGCAAUCUGCCCUUCACUCUGGGAUAACUGCGGGAAACUGCAGCUAAUACCGGAUACGAGACCUUGGGGCAUCCCAGGGUCUGGAAAGAAUUUCGGUGAAGGAUGAGCUCGCGGCCUAUCAGCUAGUUGGUGAGGUAAUGGCUCACCAAGGCGACGACGGGUAGCCGGCCUGAGAGGGUGACCGGCCACACUGGGACUGAGACACGGCCCAGACUCCUACGGGAGGCAGCAGUGGGGAAUAUUGCACAAUGGGCGAAAGCCUGAUGCAGCAACGCCGCGUGAGGGAUGAAGGCCUUCGGGUUGUAAACCUCUUUUAGUAGGGAAGAAGCGCAAGUGACGGUACCUACAGAAAAAGCACCGGCUAACUACGUGCCAGCCGCCGCGGUAA